Molecule: ribosomal RNA, 253 nt
Filed under: uncultured bacterium
Lineage: Bacteria
Description: partial 16S ribosomal RNA
Rfam family: Bacterial small subunit ribosomal RNA
Source: RNAcentral
GACGGAGGGUGCUAGCGUUGUUCGGAAUGACUGGGCGUAAAGGGCGCGUAGGCGGCCGACCCAGUCGGGUGUGAAAGCCCGGGGCUCAACCCCGGAACGGCACCCGAUACUGGUUGGCUGGAGACCGAGAGAGGUGAGUGGAAUACCCAGUGUAGAGGUGAAAUUCGUAGAUAUUGGGUGGAACACCGGUGGCGAAAGCGGCUCACUGGCUCGGUUCUGACGCUGAGGCGCGAAAGCGUGGGGAGCAAACAGG